GUGGUGUGUGGGACGCUGAGCGUGUGGGCCUCUGCGGGGUCAGGCCAGGUUAAGCCGAGGCCCAAGCCCGUGGCGUGGGUGGGAGCGGCCGGCAGCAGCCCCUCAGCCUUGGGUGAGCCGGAGCGGGAAGCACCCGUCAUACUGGUGUGGAGCCGAUGGAAUUUCUGACCCAACAUAUUGCCAUGAAUUAAAAAAGAAAACAUGGGAGAAUUGCCUCUACAAAAUAUGAGCUUAAAGUAGAGAUGCAUCCCACAGAAGUCAUGGCAAGAGUAAAGGAAAUGAGACGUGAAUUUGGAGAACCCAGGAAAAUGUGCGACAGACAAGUACGGCCAUUACCAGAUAUGAAGGGCACAAGAAGCAGAUGCUGCCAAAGCUGACAACGUAGAAAGAUUCAGGAUCCGGCUGUUUCCUGGAGUCUUAAAGAGGUGAAAGAAGAAAGCCAGCUUUCACGUUAUACCCUGGGAACCUCGUACCAGAGCGAUGUAGCACCCAGGAAGGAAAAUGACAGCUUGACACCGUAGAAAAUAUGGAGUUGAAACGCAGAAGAGCUCCACUUGUCUUUCACGGCGGUGCUAAUGGCUUCUUCUGUUCCCAGACUCGUGCCUGCCUCUGGGUAAUUGGCAAAGACAGAUGUGCCAUCUAUCAUAAAAAAUUAAAAACACGAGAAGUAAAUGUGAAUUAUAAGUAUGUGAUUAUUAUUUAAAUGAAAUAAACCUUGAAAUUUCA
Long non-coding RNA from Mustela lutreola (European mink), 726 nucleotides. RefSeq lists it as uncharacterized. The transcript is spliced from 4 exons. The record is from RefSeq and is a predicted model, not a curated record. NCBI's taxonomy places the organism in Eukaryota, Metazoa, Chordata, Mammalia, Carnivora, Mustelidae.